NNNNNNNNNNNNNNNNNNNNNNNNNNNNNNNNNNNNNNNNNNNCCCCUCCAAGCUCAGCCCGGGUGCCUGCCCGCCUCUACUUACCCAGGAAGCCCCUGGAGGCCGGGCUGUGCUUUCCCUCCUGUCCAAGCUUGCCGAGUGCGAUUGGCCUGGAGGGGGAGCCUGGGAACCAGGGGGCCCGGGGAGGGGGCAGAGCAGAGGCUGGCCCCGAGCUCCCGUGCCCAACCAGGAUGCCCACUGCCCCCCCCAGGCAAGCUGCUGGAGCCGCACGAAUACGCCGCCCUGCAGAAGCUGGAUGACCCCAACGAGAUGUGCACCUACGAGGAGCUGCGCACGGCCAAGACUAUGCCUAGGAACCACGUAUGUGGGGCGGGGGGGCAGGAAACGCGCCACACCACACUCCCACGCGCCACACACCGCACUCCCACGUGCCACACUCCCACGUGCCACACACCACGCUCCCACACCACACACCGCACUCCCAUGCCACACUCCCACGCGCCACACGCCCACACGCCACACUCCCACGUGCUACGCGCCACACUCCCACGCGCCACACACCACACUCCCACACGCCACACUCCCACGCACCACACACUGCACUCCCAUGCCACACUCCCACACACCACACUCCCACGCGCCACACGCCACACGCCACACACCGCACUCCCAUGCCACACUCCCAUGUGCCACACACCACACUCCCACGUGCCACACUCCCACGUGCCACAUGCCACGCUCCCACGCCACACACCGCACUCCCAUGCCACACUCCCACGCGCCACGCGCCACAUGCCACACUCCCACAUGCUACACGCCACACUCCCACGCGCCACACGCCACACGCCACACUCCCACACGCUACACGCCACACUCCCACGCGCCACACACCACACUCCCCCACGCCACACUCCCACGCACCACACUCCCACGCGCCACACACCACGCUCCCACGGCACACACCGCACUCCCAUGCCACACUCCCACGUGCCACACUCCCACGCGCCACAUGCCACACUCCCCACAUGCCACACACUGCACUCCCAUGCCACACUCCCACACACUUCACUCCCACGCGCACUCUUCCCUGAGGUCAGCCCUUCUCCUGCCCUGGCUCUGCCCCAGCCCUGAAGCCCGCGGGCACCAGCAGAGAGAUGCCAGCUCCCUGGGGAUAGGCCGCUGGCGUCUGCAGGGGGAGCCCUUCCGAGAUCUCCAGGUGCUGCCAGCAGGGUGGCUGGCCAGUGGGGGCCAGAGAGACCAGAGGAGCCCCGAGCGGGCCCCCCGCAUGCCGGGGCCGCUAGGCAGAGCACGAGCCUGGGGUUGGGGUCGGGGCCUCCAGCCCUCGCCAGACGGGCAUCGGAGGU
Molecule: long non-coding RNA, 1365 nt
Filed under: Monodelphis domestica (gray short-tailed opossum)
Lineage: Eukaryota; Metazoa; Chordata; Mammalia; Didelphimorphia; Didelphidae
Description: lncRNA (ENSMODG00000050643.1)
Source: RNAcentral